Molecule: ribosomal RNA, 253 nt
Filed under: uncultured bacterium
Lineage: Bacteria
Description: partial 16S ribosomal RNA
Rfam family: Bacterial small subunit ribosomal RNA
Source: RNAcentral
UACGAAGGGGGCUAGCGUUGUUCGGAAUUACUGGGCGUAAAGCGCACGUAGGCGGACUUUUAAGUCAGGGGUGAAAUCCCGGGGCUCAACCUCGGAACUGCCUUUGAUACUGGAAGUCUUGAGUAUGGAAGAGGUAAGUGGAAUUGCGAGUGUAGAGGUGAAAUUCGUAGAUAUUCGCAAGAACACCAGUGGCGAAGGCGGCUCACUGGCCCGGAACUGACGCUGAGACGCGAAAGCGUGGGGAGCGAUCCGG